CGUAGGUGGCAAGCGUUGUCCGGAUUUAUUGGGUUUAAAGGGUGCGUAGGCGGCCUUAUAAGUCAGUGCUGAAAUAUCCCGGCUUAACCGGGAGGGUGGCAUUGAUACUGCAAGGCUUGAGUGUAGUCGAGGUAGGCGGAAUUGACGGUGUAGCGGUGAAAUGCUUAGAUAUCGUCAGGAACACCGAUAGUGUAGACAGCUUACUAGGCUACAACUGACGCUGAGGCACGAAAGUGUGGGGAUCAAACAGGAUUAGAUACCCUGGUAGUCCACACUGUAAACGUUGAUUACUCGAUGUUGGCGAUACACAGUCAGCGUCUUAGCGCAAGCGAUAAGUAAUCCACCUGGGGAGUACGCCGGCAACGGUG
Molecule: ribosomal RNA, 368 nt
Filed under: uncultured organism
Description: bacterial SSU rRNA
Rfam family: Bacterial small subunit ribosomal RNA
Source: RNAcentral